CCUACGGGGGGCAGCAGUGGGGAAUAUUGCACAAUGGGGGAAACCCUGAUGCAGCGAAGCCGCGUGAGUGAAGACGUAAUUCGUUAUGUAAAGCUCUAUCUGCAGGGAAGAAAAUGACGGUACCUGAGUAAGAAGCCCCAGCUAACUACGGGCCAGCAGCCGCGGGAAUACGUAGGGGGAAAGCGUUAUCCGGAUUUACUGGGUGCAAGGGGAGGGUUGACUGGAGUGCAAGUGUGGAGUGAAAGGCGGGGGCUCAACCCCCGGACUGCACUGGAAACUGGAAGGCUGGAGUGCAGGAGAGGUAAGUGGAAUUCGUGGUGUAGCGGUGAAAUGCGUAGAUAUUAGGAGGAACUCCAGUGGCGAAGGC
RNAcentral lists this ribosomal RNA (367 nucleotides) under uncultured bacterium. RNAcentral's name for it is "partial 16S ribosomal RNA". It matches the Rfam family "Bacterial small subunit ribosomal RNA", at positions 338 to 722 of the family's 1533-position model. The record is from RNAcentral.